AACGAACGCUGGCGGCAUGCCUAACACAUGCAAGUCGAACGAGACCUUCGGGUCUAGUGGCGCACGGGUGCGUAACGCGUGGGAACCUGCCUUUAGGUUCGGAAUAACUCAGGGAAGUUUGAGCUAAUACCGGAUGAUGUCUUCGGACCAAAGAUUUAUCGCCUUUAGAUGGGCCCGCGUUGGAUUAGCUGGUUGGUGGGGUAAAGGCCUACCAAGGGGACGAUGCAUAGCUGGUCUGAGAGGAGGAUCAGCCACACUGGGACUGCGACACGGACCAGACUGCUACGGGAGGCAGCAGUGUGGAAUACUGGACGAUGGGCGAAAGCCUGAUACAGCAACGCGGCGUGAGUGAUGAAGGCGUUAGGGUUGUAAAGCUCUUUUACCCGAGAUGAUAAUGACAGUAUCGGGAGAAUAAGCACCGGCUAACUCCGUG
This 433-nucleotide ribosomal RNA is filed under the name uncultured bacterium. RNAcentral describes it as "partial 16S ribosomal RNA". It matches the Rfam family "Bacterial small subunit ribosomal RNA", at positions 29 to 507 of the family's 1533-position model. The record is from RNAcentral.